Molecule: long non-coding RNA, 500 nt
Organism: Rana temporaria (common frog)
Lineage: Eukaryota; Metazoa; Chordata; Amphibia; Anura; Ranidae
Exons: 3
Source: RefSeq, a predicted model, not a curated record
GAGGAGCCACGGGCCGGCAGCACAUAGGCCACACCUACUGUCGAGAGGCGGGGACGCGAGCUCAUAGACAUCAGAAAUUAAGGGGCGGGGCCUGCACCGAUCAGGCGUGAGCGCGCGGCGGGAGGCCGUUAAAUUUGCGUCACUCUGAGGGAGGCGCAGUCAGCGAUUAGCCCGCUAGAGGAGCCGCACAAUUCGCUGGUUCUCCGUCACGCCCACCUGGAUGUCUUCUGAAGCAACGCCUUUGGCCGGUGGCUGCCAUGCAGAAAACACUGAACUUUGCCCUUUAUGUUCUGCUUCCAUUCCUCAAUGGGGUACAUAGUGAUCAUGAUGGACCUGGAGACAACUCUGUCCUCUCUGGAUUUCAAGCUCUUCAAAGGACAACACUUCAAGCUUUUCGGAUGAGAAGAAUUACAAACAAGUGUUGCUGAAUGAAAUUCUACCUGUACUGUAAACCUGCUGUUUUUAAAGUGAUAUUAAACGCUAAUAGAUUUAUUUUUUAA